RNAcentral lists this ribosomal RNA (755 nucleotides) under uncultured bacterium. Its description in RNAcentral is "bacterial SSU rRNA". It matches the Rfam family "Bacterial small subunit ribosomal RNA", at positions 94 to 826 of the family's 1533-position model. The record is from RNAcentral.
AGUGGCGAACGGGUGAGUAACGCGUGGGCAAUCUGCCCUUCAGAUGGGGACAACAUCCCGAAAGGGGUGCUAAUACCGAAUACGAUCGUUUUCCCGCAUGGGAUUGCGAUGAAAGAUGGCCUCUAUUUAUAAGCUAUCGCUGAAGGAUGAGCCUGCGUCUGAUUAGCUAGUUGGUGGGGUAACGGCCUACCAAGGCGAUGAUCAGUAGCCGGUCUGAGAGGAUGAACGGCCACAUUGGGACUGAGACACGGCCCAAACUCCUACGGGAGGCAGCAGUGGGGAAUAUUCCGCAAUGGACGAAAGUCUGGCGGAGCAACGCCGCGUGAGUGAUGAAGGUUUUCGGACUGUAAAGCUCUGUUGUUUAGGACGAAAGUGCCUGUUGCGAACAGUUACAGGUAUUGACGGUACUAAACGAGGAAGCCACGGCUAACUACGUGCCAGCAGCCGCGGUAAUACGUAGGUGGCAAGCGUUGUCCGGAAUUAUUGGGCGUAAAGAGCAUGUAGGCGGAGAUUUAAGUCUGUUGUGAAAAUGCGGGGCUCAACCCCGUAUUGCGAUGGAAACUGAAUUUCUUGAGUGCAGGAGAGGAAAGGGGAAUUCCCAGUGUAGCGGUGAAAUGCGUAGAUAUUGGGAGGAACACCAGUGGCGAAGGCGCCUUUCUGGACUGUGUCUGACGCUGAGAUGCGAAAGCCAGGGUAGCGAACGGGAUUAGAUACCCCGGUAGUCCUGGCCGUAAACGAUGGGUACUAGGUGUAGG